Aedes aegypti (yellow fever mosquito) is the source of this 1507-nucleotide long non-coding RNA. RefSeq lists it as uncharacterized. The transcript is spliced from 2 exons. The record is from RefSeq and is a predicted model, not a curated record. NCBI's taxonomy places the organism in Eukaryota, Metazoa, Arthropoda, Insecta, Diptera, Culicidae.
AUUAUUUUUACGAAACAAGAUGAAACAUCCAAUCCACGGUAAUUUCUCAAUAUUUUCUAUUUCCUAUUCGUAUCAGAACAAGCCAACCACUUGAAUUUCUCAAUAUUUUCUAUUUCCUAUUCAUAUGAGAACAAGAUCAAACCUCUGAAAUUUCUCAAUAUUUUCUAUUUCCUAUUCGUAUCAGAAAAAAAUACCAACCACUUGAGUUUCUCAAUAUUUUCUAUUUCCUAUUCGUAUGCGGUAAUCAGUUAUACCAACUCGACUGUAAUUUCUUUCAAAUUCUAUUUCAAUUUUUUUUGAAAGCAGAAUCAAGAUCCAACCUUUUUGUAAUUUCUUUUAAAUUCUAUUUCAAUUUUUUUGUGUUGUCUUUAAUUUUUAAUUGUUGAUGGUUUAUUUAUAUCAGCUAAAUCUCACAAAGUUGUUCACUCUUUGACAGUCACACGCAAUUGCGAUAAAAGAAAAAAACUAUCUAGCAAAAUGAGACAAACGACUUACAAUUUGCAAAAUUGAUUGAGUUCAAAAGUUCUGCUUAGCAGUCGUCAUCAUAUGACCAAAGGUCGCAUGAGUGCAAAAAUCAAGACUACCAGCACUGUUAUUUCUUUUUAAGUUCUAUUUCUAUUAUUUUUGCAAAAUUAAAUGAACCCAACCAAUCAAAUUUCUUUCAAAUUCUAUUUCAUUUUUUUUUGUGAAAGCGAUUUAAUGACGAAGGCUUUCUUACCGUGAUAUUAUCACUACGGAAUAUUAUUUUUGAGCUUAACAAUGUCUUUUCAUUGCGUGAAAUUAUCACUACGGAAUGUCAUUUUUGAGUUUUACAAAGUCUUUUUAGUACGUGAUAUUAUUACUACGGAAUAUUAUUUUUAAGCAAUGAUUCUAAAUUUUAGAAGUCGUCAUCAUAUGGCCAAAGGUCGCAUGAGUGCCAAAACAAUAUGAAUCACCACUGUAGUUUCUUUUUAAGUUCUAUUUCUAUUAAUUUUGCGUAAAGCACUGAAAUUUCUUUCAAAUUCUAUUUCAAUUUUUUUUAUAGAGAGCUGGUAACAACAAAGCUUCUCGGAUCGUGAUAUUAUCACUACGGAAUAUUUUUUUUACUUCAAAAAUACCAAGGUAUCUGUAAUUUCACAAUAUUACAAUAUGUAUUACAAAUUUAUGACAAUAAUCCUCUAUGGGUCGACAAACACUGAAAUUUCACAAUAUUACAAUAUGCAUUACAAAUUAUCGAUUUGUAAAAGUCUGCACGAUCAUACGAAGGAAAAAGAAACAAAUGUUUGAGGAUUUAUCUUCUUGCUAACAAAAGUGUCUAAUUGAUCCGUGAUAUUAUCACUACGGAAUAUUAUUUUUGCGGUAAUAGUCUCUGUAUUUCUUGAUGUCUAAGAUAACACACUGUAAUUUCUUUCAAAUUCUAUUUCAAUUUUUUUGAAACCCUGUUAAACAAAAUGAUUCUACAAAGAAGAAUGUAAAACUUUUGUAAACUAGUUUAAAAUGAUAAUAAAAGAUAAAUUAAAAUCAAAUA